AAUUUUCCGUCUCUUUCUAUGCACGCAACGCGAGAACAGAGCCGGAAUCGCCCAAAUCACAGCCCGAAAAAUCGCGGAAAGAAGGAAAAAGAGACCAUCUGGCAACACCGCUUUCAAAAAAUUUUGAAAAUCUAUAGUAAUCGUCUCUUGUACAACCAAAUUAUUACCAAAGAAUUACCAAAAACUAUAUAUCGACUCCAGAAAACAGGGACAUCGAAUGUGUAAUUAAAUUUCGCGCAGUUAAUAGAGGUGGGUAUGUCCAUAGGGUAACAAGAGGUGGGCUACGUUAGAAAGAGGCAAAGAGUGUCUGUUUUUUAGAUAGGUUGUCACACUUUUGUAAUUCCUGAUCUCAGAAUCUCUGAAUGAAUACUAAAAAUUUGCCAUUAAAAACAAUGUUUCCAGCUUCUGGAUUUUUUAAAAUGGUACUAGACAAAUCAUUUUUAGAAGAGCACAGUUAUGACUGAAAACAAAAAAUUCUAUUAAAUCAUUCUAAUAGACUCCAAACAACAUCAUGGUAUAUGUCUAAUUUAAAUUUACCACACGUCAUAGAGGUGGGUACGUACGGCAUAGAAGUGGGUACGUACGGUAUAGAGGUGGGUACGUACGGCAUACAGGUGGGUACGUACGGCAUAGAGAUGGGUACGUACACCUUAGAGAUGGGCUUCACUAGAAAGAGACAGGGAGUGUCGAAACGAAAUAUUAUCAUCUCAGAAUGUCUUUUCUUAAGGAAUUUAAAAAAAAGGAAGGAUAAAAAAAUUUGGCAUUAAAAACCAUCUGAAAACAAACUAACCAUCUAAAUAAGCCAAAAUUUGAACUAAGCUCCUAAAAGUUUGGGAGGAGAGAUAGUGACCAAAUGCUGGAGUUUGAGGUAGUUUUUUAUUUGGAGUCCGCCCCUGGCGUCCAGUGGCUCCCAGUCCCUCGGCACGCAUCUCGGCGAGGAGUUAGUUUUAGAGCGUCGAUGGCCUUGGUCAGGGUGCGAUCGCGUCGAAAAUUCGCAGUAGGCCGUGUAAACAUCGUGUAAAUCCAGGCAUUGUGAUUUGUCGCCGACCUGGCACAAUAGUGGAAAUUGGCCGGUGUCGGGCGAUCUCGUGUCACUUCGCUUCUGUUCGGUGCACGUUCAAUUACUCCGCCUAAUUAUCAGCUAAACAGCAAACGUACGCUACCCGCUGGCGCUCUCGCCCAUCUCUAACGUGGCACCCGUCAUUGUUUACCUCUUUAUCUAAAGCACAUGCUGCGACGGUUAACACCACGUGUACGAGCUAAAGGUGGGACGACUCGUAAUCAUGCAUUAAUAACAUUUUACGAGGCGAGGUUUCACCUAAAUGUCAAUCUUCGCGACCCGUUUCGACGCUUUUCACGCAACUUCGGAGAUUCGAGCCCCGAUGGAGGCUAUCGGGAUUGCAUUGUAAAUCGCUACUUUCCCCUUUUUCUUUUGUAUAAUGGAUCGACACUCCCUCGUUCCUACCCUACUUUAUAUACACCAGAUGUCAACCUGAGAAAAAAUAAAACUAAUGCUCGAUA
Long non-coding RNA from Tribolium castaneum (red flour beetle), 1521 nucleotides. RefSeq lists it as uncharacterized. The record is from RefSeq and is a predicted model, not a curated record. The transcript is spliced from 2 exons. Lineage: Eukaryota; Metazoa; Arthropoda; Insecta; Coleoptera; Tenebrionidae.